CCAAACAUGGGCCCGCCCAUCCUAUUCCGGUUGCCACCCCUAUGUCGACCGCGACUGCCUCCGAAGAAAUCAUCAAAGGGGUCAUCAGCUGUGCAGGGAGACACAAUGUGAUUCAGCAGUUUUUAAUGACACAUCCACCCACCACUCAUUCUGCUGGCAGCUCUCAGGUGGAGAGUGACAGAUCCACAGGACCAGCUGCUACUCAGCGAGACAAGCUGUUUGGCACUGAGGACUGGACACUGGGGCUAUAGCACUUUAAGUGAUGGGCAUGCUUCAGUCCCUCUCUAUCCCUGCAUCCCAUCACUGUCUUUAAGGGGCACAGAGAGGAAUGAGAUGGACU
Molecule: long non-coding RNA, 340 nt
Organism: Monopterus albus (swamp eel)
Lineage: Eukaryota; Metazoa; Chordata; Actinopteri; Synbranchiformes; Synbranchidae
Exons: 3
Source: RefSeq, a predicted model, not a curated record